RNAcentral lists this ribosomal RNA (510 nucleotides) under uncultured bacterium. RNAcentral's name for it is "partial 16S ribosomal RNA". It matches the Rfam family "Bacterial small subunit ribosomal RNA", at positions 28 to 507 of the family's 1533-position model. The record is from RNAcentral.
GACGAACGCUGGCGGCGUGCUUAAUACAUGCAAGUCGAACGAAGAGCGAUGGAAGCUUGCUUCUAUCCAUUUUAGUGGCGCACGGGUGAGUAACGCGUAAUCAACCUGCCCUUCAGUGGGGGACAACAGGUGGAAACGACUGCUAAUCCCGCAUACGAUCGAAUCUCGGCAUCGAGGAGGGAAGAAAGGUGGCCUCUAUUUAUAAGCUAUGACUGACGGCGGGGAUUGCGUCUGAUUAGCUAGUUGGUGGGGUAACGGCCCAACCAGGCGAUGAUCAGUAGCCGGACUGGGAGGGUGGACCGCCACAUUUGGACUGAGACACGGGCCAGACUCCUACGGGAGGCAGCAGUGGGGAAUCCUCCGCAAUGGACGAAAGUCUGACGGAGCAACGCCGCGUUAGUGAUGACGGCCUUCGGGUUGUAAAGCUCUGUUUAUCGGGACGAAAGGUCCUCUUGCGAAUAGUUAGAGGAAUUGACGGUACCUGAACAGAAAGCCACGGCUAACUACGUG